Molecule: long non-coding RNA, 1867 nt
Filed under: Phaseolus vulgaris (common bean)
Lineage: Eukaryota; Viridiplantae; Streptophyta; Magnoliopsida; Fabales; Fabaceae
Description: long non-coding RNA (PVUL_LNC003130)
Source: RNAcentral
AAACCCUAAACCUAGGUGCACAUGUCAUGAAAGGUGGGUUUGGCACAAGCCAAAAUUACUAAGCACACCAUACUCUAACUUAUUCUUCUAUUUGGCACCCCUGAAGUGAGCAAAAUUUAUUUUACAUAAACUUAUCUUGUGAAAAGACUAGAAGGAAAACAACUGACAUUCUGGUCCAUGUUUGGUUCUUCUUCUGCUGAGGCUUUUUUGAGGGUCUGGUGGGGUUUGGUCUUGUAUGUUGAGAUGACUAACUUAGUUGUGAAGUCUCUGUGUCCUUGAUCAUCUGCUUGUCGAGUUGUAUCAUAUUAUAAGAACAUGUAAUAUCUAUUUCACUAAACACUAAUUAGAGUUAGAAAAUUAGAGUUAGAAAGUGAUAGUACAAAGGUAGUAACUAAAAUGAAAGUAUAAACUUAUAUUUUGACAAACAAAUGAAUUUAACAUCCAAAUCAUUCAAAUAAUAUUGAACAAGAUUCUAAUCUUAAAAAAAUCAAAAGUAUCAACCUACAUAAUUAAAAAUAGCAGAUAAUUAUAAUGAAUAAAUAAUGAUAAAAAUUAUAAAUAAUUUUUGUUGGUGAAUUAUUCGUGAACCUACUUAUUAUUCGUGAACCUACUUUUAAUCUGAACGUGUUCAACCUGGUUAAAGGAGUUGGGUUCAAUUUGAUCUACAUUUUAAAGAACUGUAGUUUUUUUCAACAAGAACCUGGUAAACCUUGUUGGCUUUGGUUUGAGUUCAUUUUGACACUCUUAUUUGUUUUCCACAGUGGUAACCAAUUUAUUUAUAAUAUUUAAAAAAAAUUUAAUUUAUGUAAAAUUAAAAUUAAAGAUAUAUAAUUUAUUUGGACGAGUCCUUAUAAGAACUAAAUCAAUUCAUGCAAAGUUAAAAUAAAACUUUUAUAUGUGAAACAUUUAACAAAUUAAGUUAUAUAUAAUCUAAUUUCAACUUAUAAAAGUUAUUUUUUUUAUACCAGAAACUAAGACUAAUUAUAAUUUAUUGCAUCAUCAUCUGUACACUGUCUUUAACACAGAAAUUGACUAGUCUGAGAAGCAAAUGAAGGGCCAUACUACGGCUUCAUUUAAUGGCCGCUAAAUUGGUAACUAUCUUCCCCAAAUAGAAGGUAAUUAAAGUGACACUAAAUAACACCUUAACCAUUCUCAGAAAUAAGUGUCCUCAACCAACAACCAAAGAGACACUAUCAUAUGCAUUAAGCUGCUUUGUAAAAACUGUUUAUAUAUUUGAAAAUGUAAUGGAGUAAUAGAUGGAAAACAGUAUCUUUUGCUAAAGAAACCUGCACUUAACUCACCGUCAUAUUACUCACCAAACUCAGUACAAUCUGUGACUAUAAAACACACCUACAGCUUUCAACUUCAUCACAAAAACAUAUAUCAACCAAAAUCAUCUUAAUAUGGCUUCCAAACUUUCCUCCCUCCUUGCCUUUCUUCUCAUCACCACUAUCCUUCUUGCCACCACAUGGCAAGGAGUUGCAAGACGCCACACUAAACCAAAGAACUCACACAAAGCAGACAAGAAAGAACCUCAAUUUUUGUUCCCUCCUGAUGGCUAUAUUCCUGGCUUUGGGAGAUUAGGGUUUCCUCCUUUCUUUGGCUUUACACCUCAAAAUCCUAACACUGGUGGUGGUGGUGUAGUAGAGCCAGAACCAGUUUCAGGUGGUGGCAGUGGAUUAGAGCCAGCUCCAGUUUCAGGUGAUGGCAGUGGAGUAGAGCCAGCACCAGUUUCAGGUGGUGGCAAUGGAUUAGACUCACCACCAGUUUCAGGUGGUGGAUAUGUUCCAGGUGGCGAUGACACCUUUGUCCCAAACCCUGGCUUUGAGGUUCCAAGCCCUAGAAGUGGCGGUGGAGUUCCAGUUCC